This 482-nucleotide ribosomal RNA is filed under the name uncultured bacterium. RNAcentral's name for it is "bacterial SSU rRNA". It matches the Rfam family "Bacterial small subunit ribosomal RNA", at positions 28 to 507 of the family's 1533-position model. The record is from RNAcentral.
GAUGAACGCUAGCUACAGGCUUAACACAUGCAAGUCGAGGGGUAGCAGGGUAGCAAUACCGCUGACGACCGGCGCACGGGUGAGUAACACGUAUCCAACCUUCCCAUAACUCUGGGAUAGCCUUUCGAAAGAAAGAUUAAUACCGGAUGGUACUUUUUCAAGGCAUCUUGAGAAAGUUAAAGAUUUAUUGGUUAUGGAUGGGGAUGCGUUCCAUUAGAUAGUUGGUGAGGUAACGGCUCACCAAGUCUUCGAUGGAUAGGGGUUCUGAGAGGAAGGUCCCCCACAUUGGUACUGAGACACGGACCAAACUCCUACGGGAGGCAGCAGUGAGGAAUAUUGGUCAAUGGGCGAGAGCCUGAACCAGCCAAGUAGCGUGAAGGAUGAAGGUCCUAUGGAUUGUAAACUUCUUUUAUAGUAGAAUAAAGUGAUCCACGUGUGGAUUUUUGUAUGUAUACUAUGAAUAAGGAUCGGCUAACUCCGUG